CUAUUACUAUGAUGGUUGCAUAGUUCAACAGAUUGAAUCUUGAAAGAGAUAUACCAUUUAUCUGAUGUAGAAG
This is a small nucleolar RNA of Tursiops truncatus (common bottlenose dolphin), 73 nucleotides long. The record is from Ensembl. Lineage: Eukaryota; Metazoa; Chordata; Mammalia; Artiodactyla; Delphinidae.